Molecule: ribosomal RNA, 459 nt
Filed under: uncultured bacterium
Lineage: Bacteria
Description: partial 16S ribosomal RNA
Rfam family: Bacterial small subunit ribosomal RNA
Source: RNAcentral
CCUACGGGAGGCUGCAGUGAGGAAUAUUGGUCAAUGGGCGCGAGCCUGAACCAGCCAAGUCGCGUGAGGGAAGACGGUCCUAUGGAUUGUAAACCUCUUUUGUCGGGGAGCAAAAGACUCCACGCGUGGCGUUCCGAGAGUACCCGAAGAAAAAGCAUCGGCUAACUCCUUGCCCGCAGCCGCGGUAAUACGGGGGCUGCGAGCGUUAUCCGGAUUUAUUGGGUUUAAAGGGUGCGCAGGCGGAGGAUCAAGUCAGUGGGAAAAUUUAGAGGCUCAACCUCUUCGAGCAGUUGAAACUGGUUUUCUUGAGUGAGUGAGAAGUAUGCGGAAUGCGUGGUGUAGCGGUGAAAUGCAUAGAUAUCACGCAGAACUCCGAUUGCGAAGGCAGCAUACCGGCGCUCAACUGACGCUCAUGCACGAAAGUGUGGGUAUCGAACAGGAUUAGAUACCCCGGUAGUC